RNAcentral lists this ribosomal RNA (253 nucleotides) under uncultured bacterium. Its description in RNAcentral is "partial 16S ribosomal RNA". It matches the Rfam family "Bacterial small subunit ribosomal RNA", at positions 524 to 776 of the family's 1533-position model. The record is from RNAcentral.
UACGGGGGGGGCAAGCGUUGUCCGGAUUUACUGGGCGUAAAGGGCUCGUAGGCGGCCAACUAAGUCAGACGUGAAAUCCCUCGGCUUAACCGGGGAACUGCGUCUGAUACUGGAUGGCUUGAGUUCGGGAGAGGGAUGUGGAAUUCCAGGUGUAGCGGUGAAAUGCGUAGAUAUCUGGAGGAACACCGGUGGCGAAGGCGGCAUCCUGGACCGACACUGACGCUGAUGAGCGAAAGCCAGGGGAGCAAACAGG